GCAGUCAUCAUAGAAAAAGUCUUAAUACCUUGGUUGAAAGCUAGCAUUUGGAAACAGAGAAGCCCUGUGUAAUAACAGACUAAGAAGUAAGGAAGAUGUGCCCCGCCAUCCCCCAAUCAUUCCAUUCAUACCAGGUAAAGCAACAGACCUGUCAUUGAAGCAUCUUGGAACCUCUAGCUUUAGCAAUGUUCUUGGAAUAAUUUUGAAAGUCAAUAUUUUCCUUCAGAAUACUAAAGUUUUCUUUCAUAAAAAGAAAAACUGAGGAGAGGAAACAAUUUGCUCUUUUAUCAACUUACAUGAUCAGUGCAUGAAGGUUAAGUUAUGGGCCCCAAGAGUACGCCAGCCUCAUUUGGGUAACACUCCAUCCUAAGCAGUAUGGUUUUGAGUAAAUUGAUGAGACUUUCUGUGCCUCCAUCUGUAAAUGGUAUAAUAAUACCAAUUUCAUGAAAUUGUUGUGAGAAUGACAUAAGUGAAAGCAUAUUCGCUUCAUUUUCAUUUUCUAUGCAAACUGGUUUUUCACAAAUUAUAAAGCAACAGCUAACCAAGUUAAUUGAAAUCCAGUACUUUAUUCGAAUAAUAAAGAUCUGAUAUUUAUAAAUCAAAAUUGAAAAUCGUAGUACGUAACAAAAAUUUUGUAUGUAUAGAUAAACAAAUAUAGUAAUUUAAGACAC
Molecule: non-coding RNA, 671 nt
Organism: Saimiri boliviensis boliviensis (Bolivian squirrel monkey)
Lineage: Eukaryota; Metazoa; Chordata; Mammalia; Primates; Cebidae
Source: RefSeq, a predicted model, not a curated record